RNAcentral lists this ribosomal RNA (252 nucleotides) under uncultured bacterium. Its description in RNAcentral is "partial 16S ribosomal RNA". It matches the Rfam family "Bacterial small subunit ribosomal RNA", at positions 524 to 776 of the family's 1533-position model. The record is from RNAcentral.
UACGUAGGGUGCAAGCGUUAAUCGGAAUUACUGGGCGUAAAGCGUGCGCAGGCGGUUAUGUAAGACAGAUGUGAAAUGCCCGGGCUUAACCUGGGAACUGCAUUUGUGACUGCAUGGCUAGAGUGUGUCAGAGGGGGGUAGAAUUCCACGUGUAGCAGUGAAAUGCGUAGAUAUGUGGAGGAAUACCGAUGGCGAAGGCAGCCCCCUGGGAUAACACUGACGCUCAUGCACGAAAGCGUGGGAGCAAACAGG